This 252-nucleotide ribosomal RNA is filed under the name uncultured prokaryote. RNAcentral's name for it is "partial 16S ribosomal RNA". It matches the Rfam family "Bacterial small subunit ribosomal RNA", at positions 525 to 775 of the family's 1533-position model. The record is from RNAcentral.
ACGUAGGAGGCGAGCGUUAUCCGGAUUUACUGGGUGUAAAGCGCGUGCAGGCGGUUUAGCAAGUCGUGCGUGAAAGCGCCCAGGCUUAACCGGGCGAGGACAAUGAAGACUGGUCAGCUAGAGGACGGUAGAGGGGUGUGGAAUUCCGGGUGUAGUGGUGAAAUGCGUAGAGAUCCGGAGGAACACCAGUGGCGAAGGCGACGCGCUGGGCCUGACCUGACGCUAAGACGCGAGAGCAUGGGGAGCGAACGG